RNAcentral lists this transfer RNA (58 nucleotides) under Neotoma lepida (desert woodrat). It matches the Rfam family "tRNA", at positions 8 to 63 of the family's 71-position model. From Rfam's summary of the family: Transfer RNA (tRNA) molecules are approximately 80 nucleotides in length. Their secondary structure includes four short double-helical elements and three loops (D, anti-codon, and T loops). Further hydrogen bonds mediate the characteristic L-shaped molecular structure. tRNAs have two regions of fundamental functional importance: the anti-codon, which is responsible for specific mRNA codon recognition, and the 3' end, to which the tRNAs corresponding amino acid is attached (by aminoacyl-tRNA synthetases). tRNAs cope with the degeneracy of the genetic code in two manners: having more than one tRNA (with a specific anti-codon) for a particular amino acid; and 'wobble' base-pairing, i.e. permitting non-standard base-pairing at the 3rd anti-codon position. The record is from Rfam by way of RNAcentral. Lineage: Eukaryota; Metazoa; Chordata; Mammalia; Rodentia; Cricetidae.
UGGUUCAGUGGGUAAGAGCACUGGCUUCUAUUUCAGAGAACCUGGGUUCAAUUCCCAG